UACGUAGGGGGCAAGCGUUGUCCGGAAUUAUUGGGCGUAAAGAGCGCGUAGGCGGUCCGAUAAGUCGGCUGUGAAAGUCAGGGGCUCAACCCUUGGAAGCCGGCCGAUACUGUCGGACUAGAGUCCGGAAGAGGCGAGUGGAAUUCUCGGUGUAGCGGUGAAAUGCGCAGAUAUCGGGAGGAACACCAAUGGCGAAGGCAGCUCGCUGGGACGGUACUGACGCUGAGGCGCGAAAGCGUGGGGAGCAAACAGG
Molecule: ribosomal RNA, 253 nt
Filed under: uncultured bacterium
Lineage: Bacteria
Description: partial 16S ribosomal RNA
Rfam family: Bacterial small subunit ribosomal RNA
Source: RNAcentral